GACGAACGCUGGCGGCGGGCUUAACACAUGCAAGUCGAACGGAAAGGCCCUGCUUUUGUGGGGUGCUCGAUUGGCGAACGGGUGAGUAACACGUGAGUAACCUGCCCUUGACUUUGGGAUAACUUCAGGAAACUGGGGCUAAUACCGGAUAGGAGCUCCUGCUGCAUGGUGGGGGUUGGAAAGUUUCGGCGGUUGGGGAUGGACGCGCGGCUGAUCAGCUUGUUGGUGGGGUAGUGGCUUACCAAGGCUUUGACGGGUAGCCGGCCUGAGAGGGUGACCGGCCACAUUGGGACUGAGAUACGGCCCAGACUCCUACGGGAGGCAGCAGUGGGGAAUAUUGCACAAUGGGCGGAAGACUGAUGCAGCAACGCCGCGUGCGGGAUGACGGCCUUCGGGUUGUAAACCGCUUUCGCCUGUGACGAAGCGUGAGUGACGGUAAUGGGUAAAGAAGCACCGGCUAACUACGUG
This 468-nucleotide ribosomal RNA is filed under the name uncultured bacterium. RNAcentral describes it as "partial 16S ribosomal RNA". It matches the Rfam family "Bacterial small subunit ribosomal RNA", at positions 28 to 507 of the family's 1533-position model. The record is from RNAcentral.